RNAcentral lists this ribosomal RNA (465 nucleotides) under uncultured bacterium. Its description in RNAcentral is "bacterial LSU rRNA". It matches the Rfam family "Bacterial large subunit ribosomal RNA", at positions 716 to 1180 of the family's 2925-position model. The record is from RNAcentral.
CGAAGCCAGGUGAUCUAUCCAUGGCCAGGUUGAAGCGCGAGUAAAAUCGCGUGGAGGACCGAACCCACCGUUGUUGAAAAAGCGGGGGAUGAGCUGUGGAUGGGGGUGAAAGGCCAAUCAAACCUGGAAAUAGCUGGUUCUCGCCGAAAUAUAUUUAGGUAUAGCGUCCACCAAAGUGCAGCGCGGGGGUAGAGCACUGACUGGGCUAGGGGCCCCACCGGGUUACCAACCCCAAUCAAACUCCGAAUACCGCGUUGUGUGUGGGCAGUCAGACAGCGGGUGCUAAGGUCCGUUGUCAAGAGGGGAAGAACCCAGACCGCCAUCUAAGGUCCCUAAUAGCAGCCUAAGUGGAAAACGAUGUGGGGGCGCACUGACAACCAGGAUGUUGGCUUAGAAGCAGCCAUCAUUUGAAGAGUGCGUAAUAGCUCACUGGUCGAGUGACCCUGCGCCGAAAAUUCAACGGGG